RNAcentral lists this long non-coding RNA (2459 nucleotides) under Trifolium pratense (red clover). RNAcentral describes it as "long non-coding RNA (TPRA_LNC013701)". The record is from RNAcentral. Lineage: Eukaryota; Viridiplantae; Streptophyta; Magnoliopsida; Fabales; Fabaceae.
UAUUUUGUAAGCAUGGAUUGUAGAGUUUUGGAGUCUUGCGUCCUAGUAAUUGGUUUACCAUCACCAUCACCAUCGUACACAAUUAAGCAAGCUUCAACUACAAAGCUUUUAGAAAAUUCAGACACUUUUUUUGUUAAUCCUUUCUUUCUCUGAAUGAAAGCUGCUUUCCGAACUUUGUUUCAGGGUUACUUUUCCACUUCCACGACCCAUCUCUACAAAAUCAAAUAUAAAAAUUAUCAAUAACAGAACCUUCAUGAUGGAAACAAUAAAAAUAAAUCUAUCUUAUAAAACUUUAAUUCUUUAGCUGCACAUUAUACCCAGACUGACAAAUUUUAACAAUAAGUCAAUAACAAUGAUGAUGAUGUUCUUGCUGAAAUAUUUUAAAACAAAUAUAUUUGCUGGAAUAUUAAAAAAAAAAUCAUUUUUUCUUUUCAUGUGAACUUAAAUUCCAUUACAGGCAACAUAGUAGUUUACAUACAUAUGUUAAGCAAUAAAAACUAAAUAAUAUCAUAAUCUUAACAAAAUAUCUAGAAAUUAAUUAUAGUAUAGUUAUUAUAAGAAAACCCUAAUUCCUAAUUCUCUGAUCAUGUUGUUUUAGGCAUGUAUUAAAAAGUUUUUGCCUGAUUAUGUUGUAAAUGAAUCGCUGAAUUGAGAGGAAAUUGAAGCAGGUUGGUAUAGUUGGCCAGCGGAUCAAGAGGAUCGAGACUGAAAGAGAGCAGUGAAGUGAAAUCAGUGUUUAGAGAAAUCGAUGUAUUUAUAAGAUUUGUAAAUUAUAUCCGUUAGAAAUCUUUUUUGGUUUAAAAAGAUUUUAUCUACCUUUUUUAUUACCGUUAGAAAUCUUUGUGUAAGAGAUUUUUUUCUCACUUUUUUUUUCUUGUGUAACAAGAUUUAUUUAUUUUCAUAAUAUUUAUUUGUAUUAAAAAAAAAAUAUUGAUUAGAUAAUUGGAAAUCUUUGACUUUUAGAGGGGUCAAACUUUUGAUUAGAUAAUUUAUUGGGAGCUUAUAUGGUGCAGUCCUAUUUUAGACUUUUUUUAUGCAGUCCCUUUAAUUAACCAAUAGAAUACCAAUUAAUUCUACAUCAACGCAAGUACAUGGUGAACUUUAUAAAACUUUUAUUUAUUGCACAUCAAUCCCUCAUUAAGUUUAUAUUAUAUAAAUAUCUCUUAUAUUAUAAGUUUGUAUACACAAGCAAGCAACCCUAAACCUAAUUUGUUUACCCUCCACUUUUAUCUUGCAAAUUUUAUUAAAAAAUAAUACAAUUUUGUCUUGACUAGAAUUCGAACCUGCGAUCCUUCAGUGCAAGACAAUAUUUUCAACCACUAUGACAAGUAUACCAAUUGUAAUUAAAAUUAUGUGCAAUAAUUGAUAAGCACCGUCGAUUUUCAUAGGAAAUAUUUCAUACAACAAUUAAACACCAUCAAAUUACAUUGCACAAUUUAAACAAUUAAAAACCGAUAAUUAGAAAUCUAGCAAAUCAUCAAAUCAUAAAUUUUCUUAGUGUUUUAUUUUUCGAAAAAAUUUACAUUUUUUUAUCCUAAUUCAAUAUUUUUUACUAAUUAACUAAACAUAUUUUGUUGGUCAUAUUUUGUAAGCAUGGAUUGUAGAGUUUUGGAGUCUUGUGUCCAAGUAAUUGGUUUACCAUCACCAUCACCAUCACCAUCGUACACAAUUAAGCAAGCUUCAACUACAAAGCUUUUAGAAAAUUCAGACACUUUUUUUGUUAAUCCUUUCUUUCUCUGAAUGAAAGGUGCUUUUCGUACUUUGUUUCAGGGCUACUUUUCCACUUCUGCGACCCAUUUCUACAAAAUCAAAUAUAAAAAUUAUCAAUGAUAGAACCUUCAUGGUGGAAACAAUAAAAAUAAACCUAUCUUAUAAAACUUUAUUCUUUAGCUGCACAUUAUACCCAGAUAAACUAGCUGACAAAUUUUAACAAUAAGUCAAUAACAAUGAUGAUGUUCUUGCUGAAAUAUUUUAAAACAAAUAUAUUUGCUGAAAUAUUAAAACAAAAAUAUUCAUUCUUUCUUUUCAUGUGAACUUAAAUUCCAUUAGUAGUUUACAUACAUGAGUUAAGCAAUAAAAACUAACUUGGUCUGAUAUGAUCAUUUAAUUAAAUCUUGAACACAAAAUAUUUAUAAACAACAAAUAGUAAAUCUUUUCCAAAAAGAAAUAAAUAAUAUCAUAAUCUCAACAAAAUAUCUAGAAAUUAAAUAUAAUAUAGUUAUUAUAAGAAAACCCUAAUUGUCGGAUCAUAUGUUUGUUUUCCUCACAGCUUACUUAGAGAACAUACAUCUAAAGGCAUGUAUUAAAAAGUUUUUACCUUUCACAGUGAUUAUGUUGUUUAUGAAUCGGUGUUGAGAGGAAAGUGAAGCAAGUUGGUGUAGUUGGCCAGCGGAGAGUGAAAGAGAGAAAUCAGUGUUUAGUGGAAUUAGGAGUAGGAGGCGUUAUCCACAGAGUCUCAG